This 715-nucleotide ribosomal RNA is filed under the name Lactiplantibacillus plantarum. RNAcentral describes it as "bacterial SSU rRNA". It matches the Rfam family "Bacterial small subunit ribosomal RNA", at positions 67 to 769 of the family's 1533-position model. Lineage: Bacteria; Bacillati; Bacillota; Bacilli; Lactobacillales; Lactobacillaceae. The record is from RNAcentral.
CUUGCAUCAUGAUUUACAUUUGAGUGAGUGGCGAACUGGUGAGUAACACGUGGGAAACCUGCCCAGAAGCGGGGGAUAACACCUGGAAACAGAUGCUAAUACCGCAUAACAACUUGGACCGCAGGGUCCGAGUUUGAAAGAUGGCUUCGGCUAUCACUUUUGGAUGGUCCCGCGGCGUAUUAGCUAGAUGGUGGGGUAACGGCUCACCAUGGCAAUGAUACGUAGCCGACCUGAGAGGGUAAUCGGCCACAUUGGGACUGAGACACGGCCCAAACUCCUACGGGAGGCAGCAGUAGGGAAUCUUCCACAAUGGACGAAAGUCUGAUGGAGCAACGCCGCGUGAGUGAAGAAGGGUUUCGGCUCGUAAAACUCUGUUGUUAAAGAAGAACAUAUCUGAGAGUAACUGUUCAGGUAUUGACGGUAUUUAACCAGAAAGCCACGGCUAACUACGUGCCAGCAGCCGCGGUAAUACGUAGGUGGCAAGCGUUGUCCGGAUUUAUUGGGCGUAAAGCGAGCGCAGGCGGUUUUUUAAGUCUGAUGUGAAAGCCUUCGGCUCAACCGAAGAAGUGCAUCGGAAACUGGGAAACUUGAGUGCAGAAGAGGACAGUGGAACUCCAUGUGUAGCGGUGAAAUGCGUAGAUAUAUGGAAGAACACCAGUGGCGAAGGCGGCUGUCUGGUCUGUAACUGACGCUGAGGCUCGAAAGUAUGGGUAGC